AUGGGCGGAAGCCGGCGGUCUCCCAUUUGCGGGUCUUUGGCUGUCUUGCGUUCGCUAGAGCUCGGCCACAUCGGCAAGCUCGACGACAGGAGCACGCCGGGAGUCUUCAUCGGCUACGCGGAGGGCUCAAAGGCCUACCGCAUCCUCGACCCAAAGACACAGCGUGUGCGCACGGCGCGAGACGUCGUGUUCAACAAAGGGCGAGGGUGGCAAUGGGACAAGGCGGUGGACGACGGCUCGACGCUGACGUAUGACGACUUCAUUGUUGAGUACGCCCACUUCAAGGAAGCCGGGGGAGCAAGCAGCUCCUCUUCGCCGGGCACGUCUACCCCGGCCCCCAAAACUACAUCGACUCCGGUGCCUGCUACGCCGACGGCACCACAACUGGCGACGCCGCAUACUCCAGCCCCGGCAGUCACCACUCCGGGUUCGUCUUCAUCAGCACCAGCCCACGCAGAGCACAACCCGAUGAAGUUCGCUUCCCCGCUCACUCACGACGAGGAGCGUGUCGACGCGUAUUAUGGAGGCGAACAGCUGCGGUAUCGCACGAUGGAUGAUCUACUCGGCGACCAGCCGGUGCCGGGACUGAUGCCACGCGACGUGGAGGCGCAGCUACAACUCGCGUGUGAGGACGGCGAACCUCGGUCCUUUGCAGAGGCCGAGAGAGAUGCGGCAUGGCGCGCAGCGAUGCAGUUGGAGAUGGAUGCGGUCGAGCAAAACCGCACCUGGGAGCUCGCUGACCUCCCUCGUGGUCACCACACAAUCACCCUUAACUGGGUGUUCAAGCUGAAGAGGGAUGGAGCCGGCGCCAUCAUCAAGCACAAGGCUCGCCUGGUGGCCCGAGGCUUCUUGCAGCAGGAAGGAGUCGACUUCGACGACGCCUUCGCUCCCGUGGCACGGAUGGAGUCCGUGCGACUUCUCCUUGCGCUGGCUGCCCAGGAGGGCUGGCGUGUCCAUCACAUGGAUGUCAAGUCGGCAUUCCUCAACGGCGACUUGAAGGAGGAAGUCUACGUGCAUCAGCCACCGGGAUUUGCGAUUCCCGGCCAGGAGGGCAAGGUACUCCGCCUGCGCAAGGCUCUCUAUGGCCUACGGCAGGCACCUAGGGCAUGGAACGCCAAGCUGGACUCCACGCUAAAGAAGAUGGGCUUCGAGCAAAGCCCGCAUGAGGCUGCCGUCUACCGACGGGGUAGUGGAGGAAAUGCCCUGCUGGUGGGCGUCUAUGUUGACGACUUGGUGAUCACCGGCACCAAAGAUGCAGAGGUGGCGGCGUUCAAGGAAGACAUGAAGGCCACCUUCCAGAUGAGUGAUCUGGGGCUCCUCUCCUUCUAUCUAGGGAUUGAGGUGCACCAGGACCACUCCGGGAUCGCGCUUCGACAGUCCGCCUACGCCAAGCGCAUCGUUGAGCUAGCUGGGCUCACCGACUGCCACCCAGCUCUCACUCCGAUGGAGGAGAGGCUAAAACUGAGCCGCGACAGCACGACGGAGGAACGACCGACAUCGGAACACCAGCAGGCAGUGAAGAGGAUCGUCCGCUACGUAGCAGGGACCCUCGACCACGGCCUCCACUACCCUAGGUGUCCGGGGGUGGCACACUUCGUCGGGUACAGCGACCACGCCGGCGACAUCGACACCAGCAAGAGCACGAGCGGGAUCCUCUUCUUCCUCGGCAAGUGUCUCGUGAGCCGGCAAUCAGUCAAGCAGCAGGUGGUGGCCCUGUCCAGCUGUGAGGCUGAGUACAUAGCGGCCUCCACUGCCUGCACUCAGGCGCUCUGGCUCGCUCGACUGCUUGGUGAUCUUCUCGUUCAAGACACCAGAACGGUGCAGCUCCUGGUGGACAGCAAGUCCACCCUGGCUCUGGCAAAGAACCCCGUGUUCCACGAACGGAGCAAGCACAUCCGACUGAGGUAUCACUUCAUCCGCAGCUGUGUGGAAGAAGGGAGCAUCGAGGCGAGCUACAUCAACACCACGGACCAGCUCGCAGACCUGCUCACCAAGCCUCUUGGGAGGGUCAAGUUCCUUGAACUUUGCUCCAGGAUUGGGAUGAUUCAACUCUCCCACAAGACGACGUACAAGACUUAG
RNAcentral lists this ribosomal RNA (2079 nucleotides) under Triticum aestivum (bread wheat). RNAcentral describes it as "partial small subunit ribosomal RNA". The record is from RNAcentral. Lineage: Eukaryota; Viridiplantae; Streptophyta; Magnoliopsida; Poales; Poaceae.